Molecule: transfer RNA, 74 nt
Rfam family: tRNA
About the family: Transfer RNA (tRNA) molecules are approximately 80 nucleotides in length.
Source: Rfam
GGGCCUAUAGCUCAGCUGGUUAGAGCGCACGGCUGAUAACCGUGAGGUCGAUGGUUCGAGUCCAUUUAGGCCCA